This 501-nucleotide ribosomal RNA is filed under the name Mantidactylus brevipalmatus. RNAcentral's name for it is "partial 16S ribosomal RNA". It matches the Rfam family "Bacterial large subunit ribosomal RNA", at positions 1923 to 2593 of the family's 2925-position model. The record is from RNAcentral. Lineage: Eukaryota; Metazoa; Chordata; Amphibia; Anura; Mantellidae.
UUCAACGGCCACGGUAUCCUAACCGUGCGAAGGUAGCAUAAUCACUUGUUCUUUAAAUGGGGACUCGUAUCAACGGCACCACGAGGGUUAUACUGUCUCCUUUUUCUAAUCAGUGAAAUUAAUCUCCCCGUGAAGAAGCGGGGAUACCCCUAUAAGACGAGAAGACCCCAUGGAGCUUCAAACCCAACUACACCCCUAGUUUCUAUAACUCUCAACCCCCAGGGCCCUGUACAGUUGGUUUUAGGUUGGGGCGACCACGGAGUACAACAAAACCUCCACAAUGAAUGGGACCACCCCCCAUCUAAGAGCUACAACCCUAAGAAUUAGAACACUAACAUAAAAUGAUCCAUUAUUUGAUCAAUGAACCAAGUUACCCUGGGGAUAACAGCGCAAUCCAUUUCAAGAGCCCCUAUCGACAAAUGGGUUUACGACCUCGAUGUUGGAUCAGGGUGUCCUAGUGGUGCAGCAGCUACUGACGGUUCGUUUGUUCAACGAUUAAAA